This 301-nucleotide ribosomal RNA is filed under the name uncultured bacterium. RNAcentral's name for it is "partial 16S ribosomal RNA". It matches the Rfam family "Bacterial small subunit ribosomal RNA", at positions 509 to 807 of the family's 1533-position model. The record is from RNAcentral.
CAGUAGCCACGGGAAUACGUAGGUGGCAAGCGUUGUCCGGAUUUAUUGGGCGUAAAGCGCGCGCAGGUGGUUUAAUAAGUCUGAUGUGAAAGCCCACGGCUCAACCGUGGAGGGUCAUUGGAAACUGUUAAACUUGAGUGCAGGAGAGAAAAGUGGAAUUCCUAGUGUAGCGGUGAAAUGCGUAGAGAUUAGGAGGAACACCAGUGGCGAAGGCGGCCUUUUGGCCUGUAACUGACACUGAGGCGCGAAAGCGUGGGGAGCAAACAGGAUUAGAUACCCCUGUAGUUCCUGUCUCUUAUAC